Molecule: long non-coding RNA, 3680 nt
Organism: Numida meleagris (helmeted guineafowl)
Lineage: Eukaryota; Metazoa; Chordata; Aves; Galliformes; Numididae
Exons: 5
Source: RefSeq, a predicted model, not a curated record
UUGGGUGCUUGGCAGCCAUUUUCUGAGGGCAUCAGUGGGGGCUCUUUUUCAGGGCCUCAGGGAAUGGCUGAGGGGGCUGGAAGAGGCCUGGAAAGGGCUGGAGAAGGGCUUUGGGGUUAAAGAACACUCCAUUUUCCCUUAGCUAAGAGAUGGGAAGACCUCGCCUUAGCUCCUUAGGAAAGGACUGGGUGCACCUCCACUUGCUGCUUGCAAGUCGGUCGGCAAUCUCUGAGAUCUGUGAGAGAUUUGAGAAAUGAUUCCAAAAGGGUGAAAGGAAUGAAAAAGAAGAGGCAGAGUGGGGUCCAGGGAGUUACAGUUGCACAGGCCCUUCUGCAGAAAGAGGAGGGUUUUGAUGUCUCCUUGAAGAGAGAGGGAGAUGCAUAAGGAAUUGAGGAGAAAUUUAGCAGCAUUACUCUGAAUAACCCAGGAGCUGGGGAUGAGGAAACUUAACAGCAGGGAAAAAAAAAGACUUAGUAGGUCAUCUCCGGCACACGUCUGUCAGCCCAAGGCUGUUCUUGCCAGGGAGAAUUUUUCCUUCAAAAGUUGAUAGUUCAGUUUAAGUCCCAGCGCUUUCCUCAGUGCCCAAAUGCCACAAGAGAGGGAAAUCUGGGCAUUCCGGCUUCUCUAACCGCUAAGGCCUAAAAUCUUUUUUUUUUCCCUCUAUCCCUAUUUCUUUUGAUUCAGACAAAACUCCCUCUGAAGUCGAGUGGACCAAAUACGAGGGCAUUUACUCAAAGCUCAAUUCAGAUGUCACUGGGGGUAAAUCUCCAUAAUGCCAGCUGGCGCUUGCUUGAGUGAGCAGUCAUUGCUCCUAAGUCGGCCGCCCAGCAAAAUCUGCACCGGGUCUGCAGGAGGUGGCCCUGGUUGGGCUGGAGUGGCAAAGGAGCGAGCCUGAAAUGGAGAAAACAUCCUUCAGACUCCCUGUGUCAUCGCUGAUUUGGGUAUCAUCGGUUUGCCAGCUAUGAAACACACGGAGAAGCAAUGUCCCCAGGGGAAAGCAAGCGGCUCGCUCCGUGAAUUUUGCCAGCGAAGACAACGCCGUUUGUGUUACAGCAUCCCGAUCCAGCCCAUUGAGUUGUCUGCAGAGAGCGUUAAUUGUAAUUUAUGGAGGCUAAAUUCCUAAUAGUGGGCUAAAAUCGCGGGCUUUGUUGAAAUUAGCGGUCCGCUGGUUUAGAAUGGUGAAAAAUAUGUCUCGCAGGCUGCUACCGACUGAGUGAGAUGUACUUGAUCUUUUUUUCACUCUGCAGGCAGGACCCCGUGCUUAUUUCUUCCAGCUUAAACAGCAGAGGACACAUUAAAACAGAACAAAGCAAAAAGCCCGAACCGAAAACCUCGAUAGUAGGAGGGGGGGAAAAGUUAGCGAAAACUCAAUGAAGGCAACAGCCGUUUCUUCCCGCCUCAGGUCUGAUUCAAUCAGGUCUUUCAAAAGAAACUCCUGUCACCACAAACUGCCUUUUCAUGCCAGAUUCCUCCCGGCUCCCCCUCUCUGCCCCAUCCCAGCGACUUCCAACAGCACCGAUCAAUCUCCAAGCGACACCCUGCCCCCCCGCCCAGCUGCCUCCAGCCACCGCCGUUCCCAAGCAAAAGGCAGCUUCACCCAGGAAGGUGGUGGAAAAAAUGUGGACAAAUUUCUGAUUUGCAACACUCUGGGAAUGGGUUUAUUGCCAUUGUUUGAGUGCAAAUGUAUAAAUAAAGCAAAACGAAGAUUCCAGGGUGAGUCCGAUGAAAAGCAGAAAACAAGAAAUUUUAUGGCCAUAAGUGGCGUGGGCUAAUGGUGAUUUUUGAGGCACUGGACCAUGGUAGUUACUUAGCUAAAUGAUUGCUGUGAAACCGGGCAAGAGGCUUAUUUCUUAAUUACUGUUACAUAUUAUGUCAAGCUGACACUUUGAGGCGUGCUCGGGCAAUGAUAAAGUUAGCCAAAAAAAAAAAAAGAAAAAAAAAACACACACAACCAACAACAACCAAAACUCCCUUGCCGUUCUGAGAGGCUGUUUUUAAAGCACGUUACUUGGCAGUGAUGCUGGGAAAGGGCCGUGCUGGCCCACAGAAAGGGGUGUCCUGUACUCAUGCUCUGCAGCAAUAUGUGGUUACCAGCGCCGCUUACCUCUAGAUCCAUAGGAUAAUGGGACUGGAUAAACCCCUGGAAACCUGACAGCCUUUCAGCUGACUUUCUCAGCGCUGCCAAAGCACUGCUCUGAGCAUCUUUAGCUAGCCCAGAGCAAAGUACAACCGCCUCAGUGCAUGAGCUGAGCAGGAAAGCUAUAAGGGACUGGGAAGAGCCAAGAAGAGCAGUGGCACUAGGAUACAAGAAGCGGAUAUCCCUGCUAUCCAAAUGUCCAGAAAGAGUGGGAGCCAGAUUUUCCUCUUGGCCUCACAGAGCCCAAGCUCUGUGACUGGGAGCAUCAUUCCUGAAGGGCACGUGCUGGAUGGAUCACGGAGCAAGGCCAAGCGGCGUAUCGUCCCCGUCUCAGUGGAGCUGUUCUCAUUUCUAGUGGCCACAGAGCUGAUUCUGGUUACCCGCGGAGCUCUCCAGGCUAACCCCAAGCUGCCAAUUCCCUGCUCACAGAUCUAUCCAUCUAGACAUCAAUUUAUGUUACACAUACGCUUUGAUCGUGGAUAGCCCAUAUGUAAAAAAUCACACAUGGAGGCAGCUCUAAUUUACAGUUUGUUCUAUAUCCCUGUAGGCUUACAGCCCCGCAGGCUGUCGUUUUGGCCUCUGCUACUUUACAAAAUAAAUACACACGCAUAGAAUUCCCCAGGUGCUGCCCUCUCCCUCACUCUUUACACAGGAGGUGUACAAAUCCUGAACAAAGGCAUGUUUUCUGCAUGGUUUUAUCAGUGUAUUUUCUCCCCGGCCUAAACCAGUGCUCCAGAAGAAACAGAAAUUACACAUCUGCAACGCCUUGCAAUAAUUGGCUCACCACUGGCUUGAGUUGGGCAUAAACAAACAGUGAAGAAUAUUGGGCUAGCAGCCCCUUGGAAUAAUUUGCCUUCAAGAGCCCUGGAUUCGCUCCAGUAUUUUUGAGUGCUUUCAGGCAAAGGGACCUCAUGGAAGCCCCAAAGGGAAAUAAUAAAAAUACUCCUGAGCUUAAGGAACACUUUUGCAGCUCCUGCAACAACCUGUGCCCAUCGGUAGAUCCACUGAAGGCAAAGGGAUUACUAAUGCAAUGAAACACCCUAAUAUCAUAAAGCUGGAACUCCAUUGACUUCAAACGUGCAUUAAUACCCCAAAAACUUUUCUGACCAAACCUUAGCAAAGGUGAAAAAUACGUGAAAGAAGGAGAGCUGGGGGAAGUGGGCCCUUGCAGAGUUCACUGUGAGCUCUGCAAGGAGGAGAAACCAACACUGCUCGGUAUGACCCAGACAUCGCUCAUCCCCAUCUCCAUAACAAGGAGGCUGGAGCCAGGAGGAAACCCACACCAGAGGAGACAUGGACAGCAGAGCCCAGGGAAGAUGUACAUUAAUGCAGGAGGAGUAGGGGGAGCAGAUCUUUCGGCUGGAGAAAGAGAAACAGCGCUCCUUCCUUUUAACAUGCUGUUGUCUGGCUUGAUCUUGUCACUCCAAAGGGACCCAUUCAGAGGUAUUCAUGCAUCUGCCUCGGGGGGACAAUGGGACCUUAGUUUAUAAACUGUCUGUCCAGUUGCCUGCGGCCUUUAGUCCUUUUGUUUUCGCUUCUCUUA